CGGGGACAGGGCAGGGCGGUCAAGCAGAGGGGGCAGUGCCAGGCUGCGGUGGCCAGGCAGGGGGUGGCCAGGGUGGGCAGGCGGGGUGGGCAGUGCCAGGCAGGGUGGUCAGGCAGGGUGGUCAGACAGAGCGGUCAGUGCCAAGCAGGGUGGUCAGGCAGGGUGGUCAGUGCCAGGCAGGGUGGUCAGGGUGGCCAAGCAGGGUGGUCAGUGCCAGGCAGGGUGGUCAGACAGAAUAGUCAGUGCCAGGCAGGGAUGGUCAGAGUGGUCAGGCAGGGUGGUCAGUGCCAGGCAGGGUGGUCAGGCACAGUAGUCAGGGUCAGGCAGGGUGGUCAGGGUGGUCAAGCAGGGUGGUCAGUGCCAGGCAGGCUGGGCAGUGCCAGGACGUGCCGAGGGCCAGCACCAAGGGCCCGCGGGUGGCGCAGCCGGACCAGCGGUGGCCGUGCAGGGGCUUGGCCAAGCCGAGCGCUCGGGGGGGCUCCGAGGGGACCCCCGUGUCCCCAAGGCGGGGACGGCCAGGUGCCAGGUGUGCGGUGGCGCGGCCAAACCGGCCACGGGCGCGUCCCCACGGGGAUCCCCCAGGGGAGCAGCCCCGGGAAGGGACAGCCAAAGGAAUUCCCGGGAAUUCCCCAAUCCCACAGCUGGGGAAGGAGCCCGCCACGCGACAUCCCCGCAUGCGACAUCCCCACAUGCGACAUUCCCGCAUGCGACAUUCCCGCAUGCGACAUUCCCGGCGGGAUGCGGAGGGGCCGGGAGCUCUCCGGGAUCCCGGGAUGUGCGGCGGGGCUCGCGGGAGGUGCGGAGAGGGACAGGGAUAGAGGGGACAGAGGGGACAAGGAGCGGAGGGGGCAGGGGAGGCACAGGAGGGUGGCACGGGAUUGUCUGGGGUGGGAGCUGGGGUGGGAUUGGGAGUGGGAUUUGGGGUGGGAUUUGGGAUGGGAUCGGGGAUGGGAUUUGGGGUGGGAUUGGGGGGGGGAUGCGGGGUGGGCACGGGGGGGGGACGGGGGGAGGGUGGCACCGGGCGGGUGAGGGGGUGGGGAUGGAUCUGGGGAAGGUUGGGGGGUGAGUUUGGAGGCAAAGAUUCGAUGGAUUUGGCUGAUAAGGGUGGGAUGGAUUUGGGGUGUAAGUGGGAUGGAUUUUGGGGCUAAGGGUGGGAGGAAUUUGGUG
RNAcentral lists this long non-coding RNA (1167 nucleotides) under Chloebia gouldiae (Gouldian finch). Its description in RNAcentral is "Erythrura gouldiae (Gouldian finch) lncRNA (ENSEGOG00005017995.1)". The record is from RNAcentral. Lineage: Eukaryota; Metazoa; Chordata; Aves; Passeriformes; Passeridae.